RNAcentral lists this ribosomal RNA (253 nucleotides) under uncultured bacterium. RNAcentral's name for it is "partial 16S ribosomal RNA". It matches the Rfam family "Bacterial small subunit ribosomal RNA", at positions 524 to 776 of the family's 1533-position model. The record is from RNAcentral.
UACAGAGGGUGCGAGCGUUAAUCGGAUUUACUGGGCGUAAAGCGUGUGUAGGCGGUUUGUUAAGUCGGGUGUGAAAUCCCUGGGCUCAACCUGGGAAUUGCAUUCGAUACUGGCAAGCUAGAGUACGGUAGAGGGCGGCGGAAUUCCUGGUGUAGCGGUGAAAUGCGCAGAUAUCAGGAGGAACACCAAUGGCGAAGGCAGCUCGCUGGAACGGUACUGACGCUGAGGCGCGAAAGCGUGGGGAGCGAACAGG